This 246-nucleotide long non-coding RNA is filed under the name Carica papaya (papaya). RNAcentral describes it as "long non-coding RNA (CPAP_LNC015729)". The record is from RNAcentral. Lineage: Eukaryota; Viridiplantae; Streptophyta; Magnoliopsida; Brassicales; Caricaceae.
GAGUCCUUACUUGAUUUGACACUAAAAACUAGAUUGUCACUGCGCCUAUGGGCGGUCCCUAAGUUCCCUGAAUUUUUCUUCGAGAACUGAAACGUGCUUACGAUACCUACACAUGUCCCAAAUAACCUAAAAAAUCAGACCUAGGGCCUACUAGGCCAAUUUUGGAAUUUCAGCAUGGCAGCUCUGUCGUGCUGCGGUGACGGUGCCAUCGCUCGCAGUGACAAUCCGCCUCGGGUUGGCUAUUUU